GUUGCCAUCAUUCAGUUGGGCACUCUAGAGGGACUGCCGGUGUCAAACCGGAGGAAGGUGGGGAUGACGUCAAGUCCUCAUGGCCUUUAUGCCCAGGGCUACACACGUGCUACAAUGGGCGGUACAAAGAGCAGCGAGCUCGCGAGAGUAAGCAAAUCUCAAAAAGCCGUCCUCAGUUCGGAUUGGAGUCUGCAACUCGACUCCAUGAAGUUGGAAUCGCUAGUAAUCGCAGAUCAGCAACGCUGCGGUGAAUACGUUCCCGGGCCUU
Molecule: ribosomal RNA, 268 nt
Filed under: uncultured Syntrophaceae bacterium
Lineage: Bacteria; Pseudomonadati; Thermodesulfobacteriota; Syntrophia; Syntrophales; Syntrophaceae
Description: partial 16S ribosomal RNA
Rfam family: Bacterial small subunit ribosomal RNA
Source: RNAcentral